GCGCCUUGUGUGCACGCCGCCCGCCUCCCUAGACGAUCGAACCUUUUCGCUCUUUCGGUCCUAGAAGCAGGUAUUUCUGUGCGACCUAGACCCAGGACUGAAACGGAUGGAAGAAGAAAAGGUUCUGAGGUUCCCGCCCUGGCGGAGUCAGAAGACCAAGCGCCUAAGGAGACAUGAGUCUCGUGAGUCAGAAGCUUCUGUUGACCCAUUCUCAUGAGUUUCAUUGGAAGGAACUUAAUCAUGAAAGCUUCAACUGUUGACGGUUACUAGCAGGUAUGGCAUUAGCUGCUUAAAGAGAUCAUCCGCAUAUUCAAGAAAAGCAACCUUGGAGGGCUGGUCCCUUGCUAACCCCAAGGAGUCAAGAAAAUGGCUGCCAUUUACUUCCCAGAUCUCUUGAGUGCCUGUCUGCCCUGUGUCCUUCAAGACUACAAGUGGCUCAGAUUUGUGGAGAGCACUGGGGCCCCUAUGAUGUCCAGCACUGGGCUCCGAUGGAAGGCUGAGGACAUACUUCCUGGGACCUUUGACACCCAGGCUCUGAGGCAGGGAAAAGUCAGGAUGCUGAGCUUUCCUGCCUCCCACCAACCUCUUAACUCCCCUUCUUCCUGCCUACAGGUGUGCUCCAGAGGGCCAGGCCCCACAACCUGCCAGCCCUUCCUGGACCUCUUGAUCCUGCCCUAAAGCAACUGGGGCCAUGGGUGUCCAUCCACAGGGGCACCAAACUGCUGGCCAUCGUGCAGCCCUUCCAGCAGAGCCCCAGUGACCUUGGAGCUGGCCAACCCCCCCAGAGCCUGCCCAUGCCAAGGCACCGUCUUCAUUUACCACCAAGACACUGCACUUGGGUGUCAGCAAGGAAUCGUUCCUGUGUGCCGUG
This is a long non-coding RNA of Dipodomys ordii (Ord's kangaroo rat), 871 nucleotides long. RefSeq lists it as uncharacterized. The record is from RefSeq and is a predicted model, not a curated record. The transcript is spliced from 5 exons. NCBI's taxonomy places the organism in Eukaryota, Metazoa, Chordata, Mammalia, Rodentia, Heteromyidae.